RNAcentral lists this ribosomal RNA (854 nucleotides) under Rhodotorula toruloides. RNAcentral describes it as "partial large subunit ribosomal RNA". It matches the Rfam family "Eukaryotic large subunit ribosomal RNA", at positions 32 to 904 of the family's 3401-position model. Lineage: Eukaryota; Fungi; Basidiomycota; Microbotryomycetes; Sporidiobolales; Sporidiobolaceae. The record is from RNAcentral.
AACUAGCAUAUCAAUAAGCGGAGGAAAAGAAACUAACAAGGAUUCCCCUAGUAGCGGCGAGCGAAGCGGGAAGAGCUCAAAUUUGUAAUCUGGCACCUUCGGUGUCCGAGUUGUAAUCUCUAGAAGUGUUUUCCGCGUUGGACCGCACACAAGUCUGUUGGAAUACAGCGGCAUAGUGGUGAUACCCCAUUACACGGUGCGGACGCCCAGCGCUUUGUGAUACACUUUCGACGAGUCGAGUUGUUUGGGAAUGCAGCUCAAAUUGGGUGGUAAAUUCCAUCUAAAGCUAAAUAUUGGCGAGAGACCGAUAGCGAACAAGUACCGUGAGGGAAAGAUGAAAAGCACUUUGGAAAGAGAGUUAAAAGUACGUGAAAUUGUUGGAAGGGAAACGCUUGAAGUCAGACUUGCUUGCCGGGCUUGCUCGGUUUGCAGGCCAGCAUCAGUUUUCUGGGACGGAUAAUGGCAGUUAGAAUGUAGCAGUCUCGGCUGUGUUAUAGCUUUCUGCUGGAUACGUCCUGGGGGACUGAGGAACGCAGCGUGCCGUAUGGCGAGGGCUUUGGUCCUUUCACGCUUAGGAUGCUGGUGGAAUGGCUUUAAACGACCCGUCUUGAAACACGGACCAAGGAGUCUAACAUGCUUGCGAGUAUUUGGGUGUCAAACCCGGAUGCGUAAUGAAAGUGAAUGGAGGUGGGAAGCGCAAGCUGCACCAUCGACCGAUCUGGAUUUUCUAAGAUGGAUUUGAGUAAGAGCACGUAUGUUGGGACCCGAAAGAUGGUGAACUAUGCCUGAAUAGGGCGAAGCCAGAGGAAACUCUGGUGGAGGCUCGUAGCGGUUCUGACGUGCAAAUCGAUUCG